UGCUAGACUAUGUCCUUGGGGUCUUGGUCAUAAAACUGUAAGAAGCUCAAUGUGGAUGGCACCAGUCAGCAGCAUCUCGGUGCUGUAUUACCUGACUGGUCCUAGCUUUUUUAGCUAAUUACAAAAACAGCCAAAUAGGUGGAGCGCUCUUUGCUGCUUGGGGGGUUUUUCACAGGGGUUUGAAAUUUGUUGGGGCUGGAUUUGGGAAAAGCUGGGCAGACUUUAAAGUAGAGCAAGCUCUUCGUUCAGUUCUCAUGAAAAAGUGAGUAAACCCAUCCACAAAAACCUUUCAUUUAUACGUUUUGUUAAUAGCAGUAGUUUAAGCUACAUCACAGUGAAGCGUCAUGCUUUUUUGUUAGCUCUGUAUAGGGUCAGGGUUACAUUUGAUUAGCAGUACAAAAAAGUUGUUGGUAGGAAAACACAAGCUCCAGCGCAAUAUUCAAUCUGACGACCAAACGCUUCACUCCCCUAUAAAUACCCUGUGACUGCUAAGUUGCCACCAGGGGCUGCAGCUUUAUAAGGCAAAGGCUGCCAAAUCGUUGGGAGAUAACAAUACUCCCAGCAAGCUUAUCGCUCCACUCAACACGAUUGAGUCAUAAUGUGUUAUCUCUUACAACCCCCGAAGACAACAGCAGCAGCCCACUCACUCAUGUGUAGAAUUCAGUUCACUUCAGCUGACAGUGAACUACUGGACACGAAGAAAUCGGCUUCAUUUGCAAUUCGCACUUUUGUCUGACGCUCCAAAUAUUGCAGUGAAAAGUAAGUUGGCAGAAACGUUUCAGUCGCUUUCUUAGGAGAUGUUAUUAACGCAGACAUGGAGGAUGCAUGACGGCAUGAUAAAACUGAGCUUUCCUGCCAUAAAUCAGUCCCGCCGGAGCUGAUUUCUGCAGAUUAUCUCGUAAAUCUGUGAAAUGAACAGACUAAAGUAUUAAACUAGUGUGAUAAACAACCUAAACAUGUGCCACUUAUAGAGAUUUAAAUCAAAAAGGACAUUUCAGAAGCCGGAAAUAGCAAUAUUUGGUAUGUUCGCUAAAAGAAAUUAUACAAACGAUGAAUCAGCUUUUCUGUGGUUGCCAGUUUUAUUUUUCUGCCGAUCUAAUAAUGCGAUUUAAUGCUUCUAAAAAAAAACAGAGUAAAAAAAAAGAGUUCCAGUCAUUCAGAUGCACACAUGACUACGUUUUUAGAUUCUAUCUGUUGGUCGGAUAAACCUCAACAUCUGAAUAUUUUACAUUUUGGGAAAGUAUGAAGCUUUUUUCUCCACAUUUUCACAUUUUUUUUUGCUGUUACACUUUUAAACAGCAAGUAACAUUAUAUUAAAAACCACCUAAAGAGGUAUGUUUUCAUGUCUGUUUUUAUUCCGCUUAGACUAAAACACGCUACGUCCUCUCGAUCAAACGGUGUGUGCAGCGAGGGAAGGUCGCAGGUGCAAAAGUGUGCAGCAGACAUCACUUUAUUCCAACCUUUGCAUUUCUUAUCACUAAAUCUUGAUAAUGGAUAAUGAGAGAUUUGCAGCCCAUUCCUUUUAACCUUUAACCCGGUAUCCGCGAGCCGCCGUAGCCGUCGUUGUGUCACAGCGCAAUGAGUCACGGCAUCAAAGAACAGCAGGUAAAAUAACAUCUUCUCCCGCAGCACAAUGCAAGCGCUAUUGAUCACGAACUAAGCCGACAGUAGCAUUGACUGAAAUUCUUAGGAUGAGUAGUCAGAGAUAGUCUUUAUCACGGGCGACUUUACAUCAAAACAACAGCAGGAAAUCUCUCCUGUAGAGCCUCUAAAAGCCUCGGAUGCCGAGACAUGAAUGGAAUUUUUUUUUUGAGGCACAGAGAUUUAAUCUUGUUAUAUUAUCCUGUAAGGAGCGCAGAGGGGCCUCACAGAAAAGAAGGAGAUGAAACCGCAACUUGGAAGUUUAGCGCUCGGAGAAGACGACGAACCGUUCAGUCCUCACAUGUAAACAUAUUCAGACUCGAUACCUGAUGGUGCGUGUAUAGUUUUCGGCACAUAUGCUGCGUUUCAGUUCAGGUCACAAUUUGGAAAUUCCCGGCCGCUUGCCCAUAAUUACAACCUUCUUAUGUUCCAGUGGUCCAGCUUGGAAAAACCAGGAAAGAAGCAUGGUUGCACACAUAAUUUAAAUAUUCUUUUCCAUGUUAGAGCGGGAAUAUGAUAAUUAGCAGUGUACACGACAAUGUUGACUCCCUAGUCUGUACAGUAUGUGCUGCUUUCCAGGUUGAAUUUAUAGUCACUCAGCGAAACAUCUGCACGAAAACCUCGAGUAAGUCCAGAUCAAAUGCGGUACAAAAAAUUUAAUUCCACCUUGGAAGUCUCGAAACCAUUAUUUUUCUCAUGUUCUGUUACUGUGAUCUAGGUGAUACCCUCUAGCUCUGUGCGUCAGCUGGAAUCUGAUUAAUCUUAAUGGAUUGGUCAAUCCAAUCUGGUCCAAGUGAACCUACAACGUCCUGGUUCGUAAGCAAAUAAAUUGAGAUUUGGUCACCAAUCACAUUCUUCCAAAAGUAAUGUAUCAAUUAAGAGCUUAAAAGAUGUUUAUAGUGAAGAAACUACAAAGAAUAAUUACCUGACGUUCCCUGGGGCUUAAAGGAACCCUGAAGGCAGAUAACUGCUAUGGUUUGUGAGCAAAAACUUUAGUGUUUCAUUGUCUGUACACAAUCAACUCGGCACUAAAUAAGAAAGAGUUGCAUUUAGUGGCUAACUGAUGAACGUAGAGGCGGAUAUUUCCCUCCGCUGGUGGUGGAGACCAAAAACAGAGCUAAAAGCUACAAGCAUGACUCCAUAGGAUCCAGUGCAACUGCUGGAUAUGUAAAUAAGCAACCGCUGCUGAUAAUAUAUCAACGUUUUUUUUUUUUUUUUUUUUUGUCUUUUGUUUUAAAAUAUCAAGAUGUUCAGUCUGUUACAGGUGCAGGUAUAUGUUUUUUUUUGCGGGAGAGAUUUGACGACACUGGAGCAAAAUUUUCGAGGAGCAAUCCAACAGCUGCCUUUCUGGGAAUGUGCUGCAUUUGCUCGUGAAUUAUUUAACAUGCACAUGGAAUAAUGUAACACUCCCUCCCCUGGACCGUGCGGUAGGACACACCAGGUUCUUUCUUUCACAGCCGGGUAACGGCGAACUCCAAAUCUCCAGCCUCAGCAAAUCCUACCAGCCGUCCACGGAAAGGUGCAUGACUUUACGCCCCGCCGCCCGCCUACGAGCACGACAAGUCCCACGGACUUUGCCCGGCCUUAUCUUUCUGGUUUUGUACAUUCAGCUUCAUCAUUUAACCUCUCAAACCCCUAAUAAAACUACUCUAGCUCUAAUAAUGACCGUGUGGCGCUAUAAAACGAGGUGUCCCAUCUCAACGGCACACGACCAGAGAGAUUAAACGUCAGAUUAAAAUUAAAUCAGAGCCACACGGACCUGCAGGAUUACAAAGAGAUAAAAGGGACGUUCACAGCAGAUGAAAGAGAAUAUCGCAGAGUUGAUUCAGCUACGUUUUCUAUUUUGAGGAGAAUCUAAGAGGAAACACAUGCUGUGACAACUUCCCAUUUCCGAACUUCAUGCUGCUGCCCAGCACUUCUUUGAUCAGAGUAAAUCCAAGUUGAGUCGUCGCUCUUUACCUGAGUCUUUGGAGAGAGGAGACACGAACUCCCAAGGGAAGAGUGUCGCUGUUGACCUCGGGGAGGUUACCGGAGAUCAGGAGUCCCGACGCGGGGCUCGUCCGGGAGCAAAGGACCGAGAGGACACCUGUGAGCGGCUGCUUAGGCAGAUCUUCCCAGAGACGGAGCGAAUUAACCCCGCCCCGCGUGUCAGUACAAAAAAAAAAAAAAAAAAACGGCCCCCAAGCUACUCGUAAACACACGCCCACGGUUCCUACUGAAGCAGCGUAGACCUGGCGCCCCCUGCUGGCAGGUGGAAGAAAGAAGGGUGUGCUUGGUUUUACUUUCUAUGGCGCAUGACCACUAGAUGGCGUCGUUAGGCUGAGCUACACUGGAGCUUCCUGGGACGUGUCUGCAAACAUUUGUUUUGUUUUUUAACUGAACUUGCAUGUAUAGUUGACAUUUAAUGCAUUCACGUCGUUCAAAUGGUUACAUUUUUUUCCCUUCAAUAAUAAGCAUAUAGACAGAUAUGAGGCUGCAUUAAUUUUUAACCCACUAGUACGAAAGAAUCAGCAGCAAAAUGAACUUACAUGAUCAAAACACGGAAAGCAGAGAUGAUUUUUGUUGUGUUUUUACACAGUGUGCAGUGUUGUAGUGUUUCUAUGUUGUUGUUUUUUUGUUCAUCAGCAUCGGAAAACAUUAUUAAACAGAAGAAUGAAAAAGAAUGAAGAAUGAGCUACUUCAUCAAACAAAUGUUGUAGAGUGAAAAUUACAACAUUUUCCUUCAAAAAUGUAGUAGAAAAAAAUUAUGAAAGUGCAUAAAUCACAUCAAUGGCAAAAGUACUCAUUUCCCCAAAAUGUACUACGCAGUGGUCAAAUGUAACUAAGUAUAUUUACUCAAGUGCUGCACUUAGAUACUAUGUUAAGCUGCUGGCAGUCUACUAUAUUUCAGAGAAAGCUGUACUUCAAAGCAUUUGGGAUUGAGGAGAGGGUCCUCUGUGGAUCAUCCCACAGACACUUGAUCGGUUCGGGAUCUAGUGAAUGAGUUGAGUUGUUCCUGAUCUGUUUUUGUGUGUGUCUGUGUCGGGCUGCAUCCUGCCGCAAGGAGCGUCACUGGUAUGGGGUGGGGCUCUAAAUCAGAGGACAACAAAAACCCGUACAGUCUGCAGGUGUGCCACACACUUUACCACUCAAGCGUUUUGUUUUUCCAAGUUUUUAAUUUUUUCUUGAUGCAAGUGAAACUAUUUAGAGCAAACAAACUAUUUUGCAUUUGCUGCAUGUAACCUAAUUUCACACAAGGACGCCUAUUAGACCCGACAGAGGUGUUACAGUCAAAUUUAUUCAACCAUGAACGCUUCAUAUAAACAAGUAGUGUGCACACAGGGAAGACCUCGUCCUUAAGGUCCUGAUCCUAAACCAAACGUCUACCUGAGAUUCAGUUCAGUUCACCUAAUCACGUGGUAUUCACAGAACAAUGCAGAGAAACAAAUCUAGACUAUUUAAUUUUCUGUGGCAUGUGUUAAUGCUACAGUACAACAUGUCGGACAGUUUUGGCAAUUCUACAAGCUACAAUGUUUGCCAGACUGUUAUACAAAAGAAAAGUUCAAACUCAUCAGAUUUCCCUUUCCUUCUUCUUCUUCUUUUCUUUUUUUUGGUUAGUUUAGUUAUUUUUUUUUUUAUAUAUAAAUCUUUACUAAAACUCCUUACAAGUCUUUAAUAUUGCUCUUGCUACAUUGAAAAAAUAGAAAAAUUACAUCUGGAUAGUAAGCGGUGGUUGUGGUGUAUUUAUAAAGAGCCUUGCUCUUGGGUGUUCAUGGCUAUGUUUCAAUAGUCCUUAGCUGCUUACUCUCUGUGUUCCCUUUCCUCUGUAAUAGCCAGCUUCACAUCAGCGAUUGCAGAAGAAGGUACGAAGCAAAGAACAAGACGUCAAAGAGUUUUUAAAAGGCUCAUCAGCGAGAAAAUAGCCUAGGAUUCUGCAGAAGUGCUGGGUGUCAUCUGAUCGUCCACUCCCUGAGCUUCGUCCUCUGCCGCCGCAGCCGCCGCUGCUGCUGCUGCUGCUACUGUGUCUGUUGCUACUUCCUGUUCGGUGGUCGCUAAAGCAGUGUCUGUGUCGGAGGCUUCGAAAGACUCGCCCCCCAGGUCAGCCAGUUUGAUGUAGCCCUUGCUGUUGGAGCGCUCCAGCCGGGGGCAGCUGAAGCGCCUGGCCCUGUCGCCUUGGCGACACGCAGACACGGACAUGCUGCAGCGGCGCGCGGACCUGGGCUGAUCCGUGAGGGAGUUGAGCGACAGCCGUGACCCCAUCGCCCUGGCAACAGGUGACGGAGGAAACAGUUGGGUCCACUGCGGUUCGGCCUGGGCCUGCAGCGCCCCCUCUUGGCUGGCCGCGUCCGUGGACACGUCCUCGUGGCUCUGGUGAGGCGAGGGGCGCUCCGACGCCGAGGCCUCCCUCUGCUUCGCGUCCGUCUCGACGACCUGGUUGCCGCCGCUGCCUCCGCUGGCCGGCCCCUCCUCGCUAGCGUUUUCGGCCGCGGCCUCGACGACGACCUCUUUCUCCGAGCGGCCCUCCGCCUCCGCCCUCUCGGACUCCUCCACCUCACAGUUGUUCAGUUUGAUCACAGGGAGGGUGAAAGCGUUCACAGAGGAGGUGACGAUAGAAGUGGUCUCCCACUGGCGGGGCUGCGGCGCCUGCUCGCUGCUAUUGCUGUAGUCUUUGUAGAUGCUGUAGACGGUGUCCGUGAAGGUCUGGACGUCUCUGGACCAGCUGCGCGGCCUGCUGGCCAGCGAGGCGCGCCUGAACACCUCGUCGCCGUCCAGCUCGCUUUGGAAACCGAGGCCGGUGCUGGGCCAGGAGCUGCGGGUGAGCAUCCCGCUAGCUGGGAACGAACCGGACGGGCCCUCUGCGCUCUUGGCCUGGGUGUAGUUCACCAGGCCGUUGAGAGGCGAGUACUCCUUCGAUCGUAUGCUGUGCAGAUCUAUCACCGUGGAGUAGAUAUCCCUCAGGUUGAUGAUUUUAGUUUUCUUGUCGCGGUUUUCGUGGAGGACUGCGUUGGCGCAGAUGAAGAGAAAAAUGCCGAUUCCCAUCACCAGCGGUCCGAAGACUUUAAGAUUGUCUGAGUACAGGUAAUUAUCCAGGAAGUCACAGAGGAAGCCACAGUGAGUAGACGGGCCCGGGGCACUGCUGUUAGAAUUACUCUGGUUGAUAGCAUUCGUCUGGCCAGACAGAGACUUAUCACGUGUCAAAUUAGAGGAAACGGGAGGACUUUUGGAAUAGCUCAUUCUGUUUCCAUGGUACGCUCCCAUUCUCCGGCGCUCCUGGUACUCCUGCUGGUUCUGGCUGGGCCAGUAGCCCAGCACCGCCAUGGAAAUCCCGACCAUGAGAACGAUAACUCCGACGGCGGCCACCAAGCCGGCCGGGGAGCAGAGGUUGAGCUUCCCCUUCACCACCACCACGUCGUUCUUCUUCUUUUUCUUGGGUUUCCUCUUCCGCUUGUUCUCCGCUCGGUUCUUGGACCGCAGCGAGUCCUGGCGCCUGUUCAUGCGCAGCAGGCCACCCGUGGCUAUCAUGGCGGCGGUUGGACAGCAGGCUCGUCAAUCAGUC
Molecule: long non-coding RNA, 7177 nt
Organism: Mugil cephalus (flathead mullet)
Lineage: Eukaryota; Metazoa; Chordata; Actinopteri; Mugiliformes; Mugilidae
Exons: 2
Source: RefSeq, a predicted model, not a curated record